AUGGCAUUUUGUUUGCAAAGCAAGAGACAUUGAUAGCUCCGCCCCAAAGAACUUUUAUCUGGGCAGCCAGUAAUUACAGCCUAAGUGAGGCUGAAUGGCACAGCUACCCUGAUAACCGCUGUUACUGUUUUCAGUCUUUCACUUGCCAACAAGAUCCUCUGGUCCCUUAUCUUGUUCUGGGGCCAACCCAACAAGAGCGGGAGAAGCUGAAAUUCUGACACUUUAAAGCACAGGACAUUGUGAACACGCUGGAAGGAGGGAGAAAACUGAAGCUGAGAGGCUAAAGAAUAAUAUGAAGCAAGAUAAAAGAGCUUCCCUGGUGGCUCAGACAGAGAGUUUGAUGGAUGCACUUAUCUACCUGUGGUUGGAGGGGACAGUCGGGACUAUGACAGACACAACUGCCUUGGCGUAUAUCCAGAGAAAAUUCCAAUUUGAAAAGACACCCACACCUCAAAGUUCAUAGAAGAAUUAUUUAUUAACACAAUAGCCAAGACAUGGUAGCAACCUAACUAUUCCUUGACAAAUGAAUGGAUGAAGAU
This 539-nucleotide long non-coding RNA is filed under the name Bos indicus x Bos taurus (hybrid cattle). RNAcentral's name for it is "lncRNA (ENSBIXG00000008588.1)". The record is from RNAcentral. Lineage: Eukaryota; Metazoa; Chordata; Mammalia; Artiodactyla; Bovidae.